Molecule: long non-coding RNA, 5709 nt
Filed under: Sus scrofa (pig)
Lineage: Eukaryota; Metazoa; Chordata; Mammalia; Artiodactyla; Suidae
Description: lncRNA (ENSSSCG00005019499.1)
Source: RNAcentral
UCUCUCAAGGUUCUGAGAGUAGAGAAAACAGAGACGAUGAAGGUAGAAGCUAAACUCACAGAGGAAGAAGAGUGCUGGAAGCAGGGGUAGAGACUUUUCAUAUAUUCCUGAGAUAAGACAUGCAGCAAGAUCUUGAACAACAGGGCAAUUUGGGCUUCAAAGAAGUGACAGCAGCACUUCCCUACAUUCCCUUCUAUGAAAAGUUAGGGCCAGGUUUGUUUUGGAACACAGAAUUUAGAAUUUUCUUAUAAUGAUUUUUAUUUUUUCCAUUAUAGGUGAUUUACAGUGUUCUAUCAAUUUUCUACUGCACAGCGAGGUGACACAGUUACACAUACAUGUAUACAUUCCUUUUUCUCACAUGCUCCAUCAUAAGUGGCAGAGACAUAGUUCCCAGUGCUACACAGCAGAGUCUCAUUACUUAUCCAUUCCAAAGGCUAUAGUUUGCAUCUAGUAACCCCAAAUUCCCACUCCCUCCUACGCCCUCCUCCUCCCUCUUGGCAACCACAAAUUUGUUCUCCAUGUGCAAGAACAGAACAGCAAUAGCCAUAGACUAGAGCAUCAACUUCUGCCUCCGGACCACCAGCACACACCAGGCAGUAGACUCACUGUCAUAUGUUAUAAAGAAUAAGGCGUUCAGGAGUUCCCAUUGUGGCUCAGUGGGUUAAGAAUCCAACUAGUACCCAUGAGGAUGCCCGUUCGAUCCCUGGCCUCACUCAGUGGGUUAAGGAUCCAUGGUUGCUGUGGUGUAGGCCGGCAGCUGUAGCGCCGAUUCAGCCCCUGGCCUGGGAACUUACAUACUUCCAUGUGCCAUGCGUGCGGCCCUAAAAAGAAAAAUAGAAUAAUAUAGUCUCCUUCCAGCCACCCUGUACAGAGUUGGAGCAUCUUUUCGCAGUGUAUUUUUACUGAGACCCUGCAAAACUAGAAUGUACUCUUGGCUGUGGGAGGGAGUCCCACAGAGUGAACAAAGAAUGCCCCAUGGAGGUGGAGGGUCAGUACAGCCAUGGGGUGUGCACAAAAAAUGCUGGAACUUCCAUUCAGACUGAUCUAAUGUGUCCUUUUAAUGUCUAUUUUCGUGAAUGUUUAAUAAUACAUGUACUUUCAGUGCCACAGCACAUGUAAAUAAUUUAUAAGUAAAUAUUGAGUGUGCCUACUCAAAAAGUAUCUGCUAAUAGGAUGUAGGAUCAAAACAGCAAGGAGAGAACAUUUCUAGAGCUCUUGAACAAUUAAAUCCUUUAAUCUGCUGAAAAAAAUAACGUUCCCCCAACAAAAAAGAAACCCCAGCCAAACAAACAAAAAAAAACACCCUGCAACACUAAGAAAAGAAUCUGUUUUUCCCCUUUAGGCAAUGACUAUUUUCAGAACUGUGUCUCUUCUUUCAGAAAAGAGGUUAUCAGGUAACAGCAUAAUUCAAGCCAGACAAACUUAAAUAGGCAACAUGAUUGUUUUUUUAAAAAGAAUCCAAGUGGGAUUUAAACUGGGUUUUCAGUAAACACUGCUGCCGCCUCUCAAAAAAGGUGUUUCUCUUGGGGAAUUCAUUAAGCAUUAAUUUCAACAAAUGAUCUCAUUUAUCUCAAGUUUACUCUAACAUUUACAAACUACAUUAUAUGCUCCCUGUUGCUUCCUCAGGCCCAUUCAUGUAAUUUGCAUCUUCAAAAGUAGACACAGAUGCUUUUUUCUGGACCCAGGGGAUGAGGCAGAGGUAGGAAAAAAAAUUUGCAUCUCCUCUGAGAAAGGAAUCAUUUAUAAUCAGAGCAGAAAGUCAAACUUGCAACAUUAAAAUAAAUCCAUUUGCCAUAACAGCGGGUUAGAGAAAUGUGGUUCACUGAAGCCUUGAUUUAGCUGUGGCAUCAGGAAUAACACACAGGGAUUAAAAACCCUCAUGAGACAGGCGCACAAUGAAAGGUCAAUAUGUAAAAGUGACCUGCAUAAAUAUUCUUUAAAUGGUGACGUUUCCAAAACAAGACAAGUUUUCUUUGUAGUGCUUUCAGGUCACUGCAGUGAAUAUGCAGCACUGUGCACAGGUGCAAAAUGUCUGGGAGAUAAGGAUGAAUUCAGUCUGUCCAUCAUAUACUCAAAGUUCUUUUAAAUGGACUCCCAGGAACAGCCGUCCAAGCCUGACCUGAUCUCUUAUAGAUUCAUCAAUUCAGUGGCCAAAUCAGACAAGGCUCUGCUCCCUUAAAGUGGAGAUAUAUAUGCGUGGACGGGGAGAUGGACCCAACUCACAGAAGAGGUAACAUAAGAGCAGACACCUAAGUGAUAAGAAGGAGAAGAUACACUGGCUAUUUGGGGGGAGAGGAUUCCAGACAGAACGGAAAGUCCAUGCAAAGCUCAAAUCUAGAAGUGUGCUCCCUGUUUCCUAGGAAGGACAAAGAGGUCAAUACUGCCAGACCUGCAAACCCAGUGGGCAGUAGGAAGAGAUGCCAUUAGAGAAGGGGCUGGGCCGGACAAAGGCUUUAGAUUUCAAGGGAGCCUGAAAGUUAACGCACUGGGGAGGCGUAGGGGAGGCGAAGGUUGGUCAGAGGAUGGAUCUUACUUAUGUAUUUUAAGGACCACAUUGGGUGCUAUGGAGAAUGUCUCAUACAAGAGUCGGGGGAAUGAAGCUAGCUUAAAAAAUCAGAGGUUCACUAUGAGCUUUUUCGUGUUUAGCUUUUUGGUUAUUCAGACUUCAGUAAAGUGGAUCCACAGCACUGCAGGAAAUGCCCAAUCCUAUUUCACUUCUUGCAUUAUCCAUUGCCUAUUUCAUCCAUGCAGGAAAUGAGAACAUGAGAAAAUGACACUUCCUCCCAAAAAGGUCCACGCAAGAAACAAGAACCUGAGAAAGUUACACUUCCUCUCAAAAAGGGCCUUGACUUCACUGAGAAUCAGACUCAGAAAAGACACCAAUUUCUGAGACAGCUGCCUUCCUAAUAUUCACUAGUGAAUUAUAAUAGCCUCUCAUCUAAGCAAUGCCAUGCAAAUUCUUGCAAGUAUUUACUGGGACUUUCAUUUCUGUCUGAAAGAAGCCCCAUUAUUUGUAGGGGAAGAGCUUAAGGGCAAAGUGAAGCAUAUCACCAACAAAAGAUGUUAUGUAUUCAAUAGACAUGGAGGUGGGGAGGUACUGGAUUUGUAUAUUUUAUUCUGACCUUAUGUCAAAAAUUGUUUUGGACACUAGAAUGUGGCUGUGAGAGAAAGACAAAACUCUUCAUGGAAACAAUUAUGAAAAGAAAAAUCAUCCCUGAUAAAAAUUUGACUCUGACAUACUUUUUUUGAGGGCUGCACCUGCAGCAUAGGGAAGUUCCCAGGUUAGGGGUCAAAUUGGAGCUGCAGCUGCCGGCCCACACCACAGCCACAGCCAUGCCAGACCCUGAGCCACGUCUGUGACACCACCGCUCACAGCAGUGCUGGAUCCUUAACCCACUGAACAAGGCCAGGGAUGGAACUCGCAUCCUCAUGGAUGCUAGUCAGGUUCGUUACUGCUACAUCACCACAGGAUCUCUCCUCAGUUCUUUCUUACACCGUUCAGCAUAAGCCCAGGGACCUCCUCUAGUCCCUGCUAACAAAACACCCCAGAAUUCCCCAUGGGGUACACUCUCCCUUCCCCAUGGGGUUUUAUCUAAAUGGGAUUUCUCACUAUUCAGGGAAACAGGAACAAACAAGUACUUAUCUAAAUAUUAUGAUAUCAGAUGGUGAUAGGUGCUAUGACAAAAACAAAACUGCUAAAAAAAAAAAAAAUUAAUGGUGAACUUUCUAGCUGUCAGUAUCUAAAUGGUUGCUAACACCAAAGAUCUCAGUCCUACAACAGAAAAUCUCUCUACUUACCACAGUGACAAAUCUAAACAGAUUUUCUAAUCUUGAUUCCCUCUUAAGUCUCCAAAGUACCAGGCUGACCAAACUUGAAACUUAGCAGUCCUCUGUAAAGAUAUACUAGACAUCAUUUCAGUCAAUCGUCCUGACUAGACUGAUCAUCUCAGCAGUAAAUUCAGUGUGUAGCUGAAAGAUCAAAAUGUUAGGGACUAUUUUUUCAAGUAUUAGUCAAUGCUAUCUACUCAAAGUUGUCUUUAGAAAAAGGAGGAAGACCAUGUCUGAUCUCCCAAUGGGCAAUGUCAGAAAAGUUGUGUUUCCAUCAAUCCCAGCUUUGCCAAGCCUGGCACCACAUUAUUGACCUUUCCCAAGUGCAAUACAUCUUUUAUAAAAAUGUCAGAUUAAACCUACCUGAAAACUUCAAGCCUUAGAGAAAAAAUGCAGUGACAAUGUUGAAAUUAUAAACAAUGCGACAGAGUUUGAAAAUUCUCUCUGGUGAAGUCAUUAGUUUCUAAAUAAAGAGGCAUCAAUCAUCUAAGGUUGUGCUCAAUGAUAAAUUAAUGUUUACUCUCAUAAGGACAGGAAUGACAGUUUAAAUUCAUCCAUUCAUUCAACAAAUAUGCCUACAACUUAGUAUUUAUCUGAAUUUAAAAUCUGCCUUUGCUGAACAUUUGUAGAGUGGAGUUUUGCUGAUCUUAAUUUCAUCUACACAUGAAAAUAACUGCCUCAAGGAAACACACUGGACACAUUUGUUAAAUUUCCAAAUCAAAUGGGUAACUCAUUCAAGGAAGAUAAACUGUGACCCUUUAUUUUGAUAACUAUGGGCAAGCACUAAAAUGAAUACUUCUCCUCUAAGAGUUUUCUGAAUCCUCACAACCAUAACAGAGGUGGGCAAAAUUACUCUGAAUAAACGUAAGAUGAAAUCAAGGAUUAGAAAUAUUAAGUAGGUUGUCAGAUAGCGAGAGGCAUCGCCAAGAUUUGAACCAGCUUCUCUUACCACAAAAUCUAUACUUACACCUUAAGCUACAUUGCCAUCCCUAACUAGGGAUCACCAAAUCUGUGUAAAUCAGUCAAAAUUAUAAAAUAAGAAUUUAAUAAACCCAAAGAGACACGGUGGAUGACAUUAUAAUUACCGGUGCAUUAGAGUGAGAAACAGUACAGAAAAUUACAAAUGCUAAUUAAAAAGUGAUGGGAUUUAAAUAUCCUAUGAGAUCAGCAGCAAUAAUAAACAGAAGCAAUUAGAAAGUAACUACAAGAACAUCCAAAUGCAAUGAAGAAAGCAUGUGCUGCCACCAAUCCACCAUCAAGGUAUUUAAAGCUUUCUAUCAUGUCACCCACUGCUGCCCCAUCUUUACAGUGCAUGCAUGCAGCCUUGAUUUACAGUUUGAAAUUUGAGUCGUUGAAGGUGAAAGUAAACAGUGUGCUUCAGAGCGUAAAAAGCCAUGUUCAAAGCAGAUGUUAGUUUCAAUACACCAAUGAGCUAUAACAACAGCAGCUUUUAAGCUAAUGAGAAAAACUUCUUUUCAUCUUUGCAUUUUGAUGGUUACAACUGUAUGAAUCCUGCAACAGAAUUAGAUCUGUGACAUGAAAAGACAAGGAACCAUCAUGCUGUGCAUGAUUUUUAUGAGUUAAAAAAAAAAAACAAAACUGGGAGUUACGUGGUGGCGCAGUGGUUAAUGAAUCCGACUAGGAACUAUGAGGUUGCGGGUUCGGUCCCUGCCCUUGCUCAGUGGGUUAACGAUCCGGCAUUGCCAUGAUCUGUGGUGUGGGUUGCAGAUGCGGCUUGGAUCCCGCGUUGCUGUGGCUCUGGCGUAGUAGGCCGGUGGCUAUGGCUCCGAUUCGACCCCUAGCCUGGGAACCUCCAUAUGCCGCAGGGGAGGCCCAAGAAAUAGCAAAAAGACCAAAAAAAAAAAAAAAAAAAAAAAAAAA